CGUGACCUUCUCUCCCUAUCAAACCCCUCACUCCUCUAGAGCCCUCUCCCAGCCAAUGGUGCUGCCAUCCACCCAGCUCCUGAGCCAGGAGCCUGGGCUUCUCGCCUCUUCUUUCCCCUGCUCCGCUCCAAUCACCUCCCUUUCUGUUCUCACAGCCCGAGGACCCACCAAGAGUGGCCGCCUUGAGGCCAGGAGACCUGGAUCCCCAUCCCUGAUGUGCAGCCAGGAAGAGGGCCCUCAGCAAGAGCCAAAUCUGCCGACACCAUGACCUUGGACUUCCCAGCCUCCAGGACGGACACAGAGGGAAGGCUGUCUUCUACAAGUCCCGGAGAGCUUCCUCACCCAAACCAAAUCUGCCACCAGCUUGAUCUUGGGCUUCCAGCCCCAAAACUGUGAGAAGUUUGUGACCAAUACUACGAGCAAGGAGUCAAAUUUGCCUCUGCUUCCUGCACUGUCCCUGGCUGGGUGCCAGGCCCAAAACCAUCCCAAGGAGGGGAAGAAUGAGCUGUGUUCCUGGCCACCUCCCGCAAGGAUGGAGCCCACCCGUGUGCAGUGAGGGCUCCAUGGCCUUCUCGCUGUGCGUUCUCACCCGGCACAUCCCAGGGAGAGGAGGUCCUCUGGCCCUGGAAUGGGUUUGGUGGAGAAGCCAGGAAAGGUAGGGGAAGGGGGGCAUGUCACAGCUGUGGCCUUGAAGCCAACAGAGCCUUGGGCUGCACUCCAAGGACCACCACAUUGCCUCUCUACAUCAGUCCCCCCCCCACUAACUCGUCUAUCAUGAGGUGUCGCCAGGUACCCCCAGCUCAGAGGCUCGUCAUCAGCCCGGCAGCCCUGGCAGCCCCGUUUGGCUGGCUGGGACUCUGGGCACUUCAAUGAGGCGGCCGUAAGUGCUGGCCUGUGGGGAGAGGUUUGUUCUUGACGGCCAGCUUCUAGACCCCCAAUCUUAAGCCCCACUCCCAGCCCUCCCCCCACAAGAAGCUCCUCACCCCCACUCACCCCUCCAAAAUGGAGGGGCCUCUUUGGCAGGAUCAGCUCCCAGCCUGGGCAGCUAUCCCCUGUCUUUCACCCUCAUCUUCUUUAUCUUUCCAGCAUGAGGCCCUCGUCUCUUCUUUCACAUCAGAUCCUGAGGGCCUGGGUUCCUCUCUACAAAGGCCAGGAUGGCUUAACUUCCAGAUACUUCCUGGAUAUAAGGGAAAAUAUUUGCAUUUUCUCCUGGGAGGUGCAUUCAACCCUGAAAUGGGUUGGAUCCUUCUUAUGCAACAAAGAAAACGAAGAGGGAAAAAAAAAAUCAUAGUUUCCAUAUCAAACUAGGUUGUACCUUUAUUUCCUGUCUCACGUCAUUCAGACAUUUGUUGUCAGGGCCCUGACAAUAAGCUGGGGACACGGAGGGGAAUAAGACCAGUUCCUGUCCUUGGCUCUACUUGGGCAGAGACCGACGUCAUAGCACAGAGGUCGUGUGGGCUGGAAGAUGGCUCUGGGACCCCAUGACUCUGGGGCCAGGGCAGGCUGGCCCAGAAGGGAAGGGGGGAGGACUUCUCUGGCCAGACCUCAGCACCCAGGCCUCGAAGCGCAGAAGGGGGAGGGGCUUCAGCCUUCAGGGGAGAAGGGCAAGCUUGAAGAUAGAAGACACCACCCCUGCGUCCCCUCGGGAGCUCUCAGACCUGGGGUGGGUGAGGGGGUUCAUGGAGCCCCCACCCUGCUCCAGGCCCCUCUCCCAUUAGGGUGCAGGGAGCUGAGGCCUGUGAUGGGUUUGCUUUGUCAGAGCCUGGCACGGAUGCCAGGUUGAGUACAAAGCCGCAUUGUGCCCUCUGGCAGGCACUGAUGGACCCCGUGCAGGGGCUGGCCCCAGGGUGUGGAUGCUUCCACAGGCCCCAUUAGCGCUGGAGCGGCCUCCCUUCCCCCUGGGGCCUGAGUAUACACCCCUCAACACACACACAUACACACACACACGCACACGCACACGCACACGUCCGGCCUGCAUACCUUGCAGCAGCCUCAGCACCCAGAAACUCCCGGACAAUCACCUUGCCCCACUGCCAGUCUGGGUGUCCGGAUUCAGGGCUUGGCAAACACAACCACAGACCCCAUGCCUGCUCGUGCCCCAAGACCCAGACAGAGAAGCAGGUCACACGUGACCUCCAUGCCCUAUCCUGUCCUGACUGCACAAGCCUUUGCGAGCUUCCCUGUCACAGGGCCCUUCCUGAAGGUGGACUCUCUCAAGCCCCACCACGCCUGCGGGAGGAAAGGCCAGGCCGCUGUCAAAGCCGCUUCCUGGAGCUGGACACAGGCAGGAGCAAGGGCUCUGCCUUGGGGCCCGUGGCAGAAGCAGGAAUUGAUAUUUGAGCUUGAACUUCAGUCCAUUGCUUUUCCUUUGCCACCCCCCUGCCUCCCCUCUUGCAAGGAGAGAAACUCGGGGAGCACCCGCCCUGGGCAGGAAGGGAACAGACACACGGAGAGGCGCCACAGGGUACCCAAGGGCCACAGGGAGGGGGUGCAAAGUGCUGGGAGCCACAGCCCCUCCCAGGGGGACCCAGGCGCCCAGGAGAAGUGUUCUCAGGGACCGAGGCAGGAAGAGCUGCGUGGAACAGCCACAGGAGGAGCAGCUCUGAGAGGUAAGAGAGAGCGAGGCGCCUGCAGACACGGGACAGGAUGUUCGGGCCAGAGGUCAUAGUUACUUAAUUCCUGAAUCAGCUUUGGGAGGAAUGUGGAGACCCAAUCCCUACUUCCCAGAAAUAAGCAAACCCAGACUCAGAGAGGUUGUGCAACAUGCCCAAGGCUACCCAGCUGCAGAUGGUUUAUUGGAAGCUCAAGUCUGACCCCCGGUCCAAGGCUGGCAUUUCAGAAACACAGGCCCCAGGCCCUAGAAGGCACGCGACCUCGCCUAGCCUAGCCGCUGGCUGGCCGGCUGGAGGAAGUGGCUGGGCUCUCAGCAGGAAGCUUGCCUGCCUUGCUGAGUCACUCUGGCCCCUGGCUGGUACGGGGCAGGAGGAAGGUGGCUGCCCAGCAGCCCUGUGGGUCUUGUCCAGCUGCGUACAAGCCAACCCACUCACCACUGUGGGGCCUGGGGAGGCCCGUCCCUGCCUCAACUGCUGUGCGUUUACUGGGUGAGGGCUGCUGUGUGCCGCUGAGGGAGCCCCCCUCAGUGUGCUCCCAGGAUGGCGCUGGGGUACAGGCAGGUAACCAGUUACUGCAAAGCGCAGCCACAAUGCUGUGAGAGGGGACCCAGGAACUGGAGGCACAGGCCGGAGCAUCAGGGGGCCACUUGUGCUGGCUGCUGGAGAGGUGCUUAGGGAAGUGACAUUGAACUUUGAGACAAGUUCUGAAGUGUGAAAGGUGCUUGAUUAGUAGAGAAUGUGGGGACCGCUUUCCCGGCCCGGAGGUGUGGGUAAGGCUGGCAUGUGCCAGGCAGAAAGAAUUCCAGGGUGGGCCUGUGCAGACUGGCCUUCAGGGGAGCAAGAGAGAGAGGAGGCCCCAUUUUCUGGCUGUCAGGGCCUUCCAGCCUGUGGUGGGCCCUGCAUUCUCAGCUGACUCUUAUCAGGUACUGGGUGGGCUCUGAGCAAGGAAGGCUGGUGGGGCUCUGGGAGGGAUCCAGAGCUGGAAAAGUCUGCCAUGUCUUACUGAGCUCAGAAGACAGAAGGUCUUGGUGCCAAUUGCAUGGUAGGGUUCCCACCCCUCCCCCCCCAUACAGUCUUCCUCGAAUGUACAGCUCUGAUGGGGAGUCUUUUCUGGAGAGAAGGCCUGCCAGGGCCGGGAGAUGCCAGGCCUCACCUGCCUCCCCGCGGCCAGGCCUUCACUUGCCUCUGCUCUCAGCCGGGGCGGUCAGGCCCAGGGCUGCCGAGGGUCAGCGGGCACAGUGCCCUGCUCCCUCUGAGCUGGUGCCUUCUCUGACAAACCAAGACAGCUGGGGCCUCCUGGGAAGGUGGAAGAAGCCGGAACAGCCCCUGAAUCCAAACUAGCAAGUCACCCCUCACCCACCCACCCGGAGCAGAGCCUGGCCCCCUUCCAGCUGACCCAGCACACUGGUAGUCCACAGCCCUGAAAAGAGAAACAAAACGAGCUGCUUUACUGCCUGCAAAGCUUUUGAGUUCCCUUUCUUGCUGGUGCCUUGCCCACCCUGACUCGAAGACAGUGAGAAAGCUUCUGCCCUGGGCUUUGGGGCAAAGCAAAGGAAGGAGGGGACAGCACAGUGUGGGUAGGACCAACCAUGGGUUGGGGUGGGGUCCAGAGCCCCGGUUUCUCAGCUGGAACUGUCACUGGCAUAGAGAGGGGUCUGGGUACUCUCGCCCCCCUCCACCUGUAACUGACAUAGGUGGAUUAUUCCGGAGCCAGACUCCCCGGAGCCACCUCCGGUGAGCCUCUCACCCAUCUGUCCAGAACGUCUGCCUGAGACAUUCCUGCUAGUAUCUGGAAGCUGGGUCUGAAUCCAGGGACAGUGGCAUAGAAGGGGCCAUCUUCUCCCCAAGCCAAAUCACAGGGCUGUUCAGCCAGCCCACGUUAGGCCUGAAGAUAAAGCCUGGCCCCCCAAGCUUCUCAGGCUCCAAGCAGCUUUCCCAGGGAGAUAAAAUGAACUUAGGUUACUCCUUUGUGUUACUUUCCAGGAGGUGGGGGGGGGGUAGGCAGGGAGACUGGGCUCUCUGGCUGUUUUUCUAGUGCAGAAGGGAGAAGGAGCCACCGAGACUGGGUUCUGAGGUCACUAAUUCAGCCAGUUGGUGACAGCCUGCUCUGGCCAUUCUGUCGAGGCCCUGGGUAUAGAGAGGGCUAUAGAAGAAAAGUCCUGCCCCCAGGGAGCUCAUAGUUUGAUGGUGGAGAUAGGCCAGUAUUGAGCUUUGACAAAGCUGUGGGACAGAGUUCCAGAGAAGCAGGACAAACAGAGGGAAGGCUUCCACGGAGCAAGGAUCAGGGCGAGGAGACAGACGGAGGAACUCACCUUACACACAAGAUGUAAACGGGCCCCAAAAACUCGGUUCUCAAGACAAUUCCAUUUUAUUUUAUUUUAUUAUUUUUUUAAAGAUUUUAUUUAUUUAUUUGACAGAUGUAGAGACAGCCAGCGAGA
This is a long non-coding RNA of Ailuropoda melanoleuca (giant panda), 5050 nucleotides long. RefSeq lists it as uncharacterized. NCBI's taxonomy places the organism in Eukaryota, Metazoa, Chordata, Mammalia, Carnivora, Ursidae. The transcript is spliced from 3 exons. The record is from RefSeq and is a predicted model, not a curated record.